This 500-nucleotide ribosomal RNA is filed under the name uncultured dinoflagellate. RNAcentral's name for it is "SSU rRNA". It matches the Rfam family "Eukaryotic small subunit ribosomal RNA", at positions 33 to 537 of the family's 1831-position model. The record is from RNAcentral. Lineage: Eukaryota; Dinophyceae.
CUGUCUCAGAUUAGCCAUGCAUGUCUCAGUAUAAGCUUCUAUACGGCGAAACUGCGAAUGGCUCAUUAAAACAGUUAUAGUUUAUUUGGUGGUCAACAAUUACAUGGAUAACCGUGGUAAUUCUAGAGCUAAUACAUGCGCCCAAACCCAACUUCUUGGAAGGGUUGUGUUUAUUAGAUACAGAACCAACCCAGGCUCCGCCUGGCCUUGAGGUGAUUCAUAAUAACCGAACGAAUCGCAUGGCUUUGCCGGCGAUAGACCAUUCAAGUUUCUGACCUAUCAGCUAUCGUCGGUAGGGUAUUGGCCUACCGUGGCAAUGACGGGUAACGGAGAAUUAGGGUUCGAUUCCGGAGAGGGAGCCUGAGAAACGGCUACCACAUCUAAGGAAGGCAGCAGGCGCGCAAAUUACCCAAUCCUGACGCAGGGAGGUAGUGACAAGAAAUAACAAUACAGGGCAUCCAUGUCUUGUAAUUGGAAUGAGUAAACUUUAAAUCACUUUA